UGGAACUUAUUUUGAACAGGCUGUAUAAAACAGCUGAUCAUAUAAGUUU
Molecule: microRNA precursor, 49 nt
Filed under: Ciona intestinalis (vase tunicate)
Lineage: Eukaryota; Metazoa; Chordata; Ascidiacea; Phlebobranchia; Cionidae
Description: microRNA cin-mir-4001e precursor
Source: miRBase by way of RNAcentral